GCUGUCGUGGCGCAACUCAGGCAGACGCGCGCGGUCGAGAGCCGCGAUGAUGAAGGUUUGAAUCCUUCCGGCAGCA
RNAcentral lists this transfer RNA (76 nucleotides) under Acidobacteriota bacterium. RNAcentral describes it as "tRNA-Leu". It matches the Rfam family "tRNA". Rfam says of the family: Transfer RNA (tRNA) molecules are approximately 80 nucleotides in length. Their secondary structure includes four short double-helical elements and three loops (D, anti-codon, and T loops). Further hydrogen bonds mediate the characteristic L-shaped molecular structure. tRNAs have two regions of fundamental functional importance: the anti-codon, which is responsible for specific mRNA codon recognition, and the 3' end, to which the tRNAs corresponding amino acid is attached (by aminoacyl-tRNA synthetases). tRNAs cope with the degeneracy of the genetic code in two manners: having more than one tRNA (with a specific anti-codon) for a particular amino acid; and 'wobble' base-pairing, i.e. permitting non-standard base-pairing at the 3rd anti-codon position. Lineage: Bacteria; Pseudomonadati; Acidobacteriota. The record is from RNAcentral.